RNAcentral lists this long non-coding RNA (2555 nucleotides) under Equus caballus (horse). RNAcentral's name for it is "lncRNA (ENSECAG00000047189.1)". The record is from RNAcentral. Lineage: Eukaryota; Metazoa; Chordata; Mammalia; Perissodactyla; Equidae.
UUAACUUGUUGCUACAGAGCUUAACUUUUUUAAGGCUUAAUCUUAUAUGUUCAGAAGAUUCUAGCCAGUUAAAUUAGUUCUGGUCAAACAGUUGGACAUUGGCUUGUAAAUAACCACAUCAUAAAAAAUAUAAUAUUACUCCUGCCAACCAAUUCUCUUCCUGAUUACAUUCUUUGGGUCUGUUUUCCUAAUGCCAACAAUUAGAUUCUUGGACCAAGUGAAGGCAUACUCUGAUCCACAAAGCUCUUUUUAUAAACCAGUUUUGAUGUGUGUGUAAAUGUGCAUAUCUGUGUACAUCAGCUAUGUGGACAUUUUGAGGGUAAUUUUAAUUUAGUUCUGUUCUCUUGUUGGUGCCAAUGUUAUACUGAGGACUCUCCCUACGAUGAAGGCAAUGUUUCUUUGAAAAUCUCCCCUUAUCUCCCAGGACUUUACUCUUUGGUGAUCUGUCUAUUUUCUUACUUUCUCUAAGUGCUUUAUCCUUCUUUUCUGAGAUGCCUUCUGAGGGACGCUGACCUCCCACUAGGGAGAGGGGAGUUACUGGGAGGACCCUCAGGGGUAGCCACACUGCCAGAAGCAACCUAUUUUACUGAGAAUGGUCUGAAUGGCAGAGAGUGAAUCCUGAGUAUGGAUUGGUAGAGGGAGGAUGUUGAUUCUUUCUGUCAUUCUUUCUGGCUUUCCUUUCAACACCCCUUGUUUCAGGGGCCUCUCCCCUUAGCAUCCUUUAAAAGUUUUUCUGAUGAAUGUGUAAGAAUUGAUUAUGUCAACGGUAUUAGUUAAGUCAUAGCAAUGAAGUACUGAGAAGGUUAUGGAUACUAGUAAGAAACAAGUAGGUUAAGAUAAAGCAUGAGUACCAAAGAGAAUUUAACUGCCAUUUUUUUUUGAACCAAAAUCCUAAGUAACUCUAAAUGCCUUAGAUAUCAGUUAAAGUUGUACUGAGAUGGACAAAGCUCUUUCUCUGCAAAGGGAGUAAUCAAGUUAAUGCCUGUUCUCUUUCAAUAAACAGUUAUUUAUUGAGCAUUGUGGAUGCCAUGUUUUCAGAUUUCCAGGUAAAUUCAUGACCUUACUUGUUUGGCUGCACAGGUGAAUCGGGUGGAAAGGCCUUGGUCAACCAGCAUUUAAUGAGCAGUAGCUUAAUGCAGAGCACUCGAGAGGCAGCAUAGCAACAGAAAGGGAGUAUGGGUGAGUUGUUGGGUGCCCUUCUAGAUCAGGGAUGGGGAAUGUAGAACGUCUGUGCCACCAUUCUUUCAAGGUGGCGUUAUGAGUGAGGGGCACUCCUUUCCUCUGUGCCAGGAAUUAGUCUCAGAAUCUAUGUCAUCAAUACUUCCAGGCAUCCAUUACAGUCCGUCAGAGUGAGAUGAAGCCUAUUUGUCAUCCCUCCCUUAGACAGAGGGGUGAAUGAAUUAGGUGAGUAGAUACCACCCAAUAUGGCUUUGAAAGCAGUGAGCUGAUUCAGCCCAGUUCCCAGUUCUUAGUAGUACUUACUGUCUACCAUGUGCAAGACAAUGCUAAGAACUGGGGAUACAGACAUAAAGAAGCCACCAUCCCUGACCUUGAAGAGCUUACAGCCUUGUGAAAAUGUUUGCAGUAAUCAUGACUUGAGUGUCCUCAAAGACACCCACUUUUGUCAGGCACACUGGGGCUCCCCGGCCUGGCCACCUGUUAAGUCCUGGCACAAACUAUCCAUUGCUUCAUCAUUUACUAACAAACAUCAUGAACCAGCUUAUCUCUAAAUUUGAACAUCACAUCCUAUGUUUUCGUUUUGUUGUGGUAUGCUUUUUUUCUCACUACUUUUCGUAGUCUUCUCUGUACUUCAUUUUUUGAAAAAAAAAUUGUAUGUGGCCUGCUUGACUUAAAAAUACUUACUAGCCACCACAGCCUAUGUAGCUGAGGGCUCAGCAGCUUGAUCCUGUGAAAAGGAGGCACAAAGCCAGGGAAGUAAGUACUGGGAGAGAGGCAAGCUGUUUGCAUGUGUGUUUAUACCUAUGCCUUUAAGAUACUUUUAUAAAAAGUAUUAAUAAAGAAAUGGUCGUUAGGAUACUAGUCCUGACUGAAAGUCAGUUGAUUUUGCCUUUGUGAUUUUGCCUAUCAAAGGGUAGUUUUCCAUCCUUAUGGUUCAUUCACAUAAUAGUAUUUGUUUUUCAUUUUCUUGUGUUAACUUAGGAACACGAUAUAAAAUACACACCAAAUGGCACAUACUGACUUCUGCACUUGACAUAACCAUUUUUAUCCAUUCCUACAGGAGAUGGGUUAAAUGUAAAAGAUGGCCAAUUUUGAGGAGCAAAAGGGUGCUGAAAUGACUGGUAAGGUCGGCUGCUGCUUUCUCAAUUGGAUGCCAUGGUUUAUUACUAGUGAAGAAAAGGAAAAUGUAAUUUGCAUUAUUAUGUCAUUUUUCUAAAAAAAAGUCUUAAUAGGGGCUCUUUAGAUGUCUACAAUGUUUUCCUAUGUAGUGGUCAUUUUAGGAAAAAUGAUAAUCUGUAGAAUGAAUAGUUAUGUUUGUUAUGACUGAUACUUUCUUUGUUGAAAAGUUUGUAUUGAGUCUUCAAUUUCAAGUGUGG